This 439-nucleotide ribosomal RNA is filed under the name uncultured bacterium. RNAcentral describes it as "bacterial SSU rRNA". It matches the Rfam family "Bacterial small subunit ribosomal RNA", at positions 355 to 786 of the family's 1533-position model. The record is from RNAcentral.
UAGGGAAUUUUCGUCAAUGGGGGGAACCCUGAACGAGCAAUGCCGCGUGUGUGAAGAAGGUCUUCGGAUCGUAAAGCACUGUUGUAAGUGAAGAAUGCCACAUAGAGGAAAUGCUAUGUGGGUGACGGUAGCUUACCAGAAAGCCACGGCUAACUACGUGCCAGCAGCCGCGGUAAUACGUAGGUGGCAAGCGUUAUCCGGAAUCAUUGGGCGUAAAGGGUGCGUAGGUGGCACGAUAAGUCUGAAGUAAAAGGCAACAGCUCAACUGUUGUAUGCUUUGGAAACUGUCGAGCUAGAGUGCAGAAGAGGGCGAUGGAAUUCCAUGUGUAGCGGUAAAAAUGCGUAGAUAUAUGGAGGAACACCAGUGGCGAAGGCGGUCGCCUGGUCUGUAACUGACACUGAUGCACGAAAGCGUGGGGAGCAAAUAGGAUUAGAUACC